RNAcentral lists this ribosomal RNA (450 nucleotides) under uncultured bacterium. RNAcentral's name for it is "partial 16S ribosomal RNA". It matches the Rfam family "Bacterial small subunit ribosomal RNA", at positions 354 to 796 of the family's 1533-position model. The record is from RNAcentral.
GUGGGGAAUAUUGGACAAUGGGCGAAAGCCUGAUCCAGCCAUGCCGCGUGUGUGAAGAAGGUCUUCGGAUUGUAAAGCACUUUAAGUUGGGAGGAAGGGCAGUAAGUUAAUACCUUGCUGUUUUGACGUUACCGACAGAAUAAGCACCGGCUAACUUCGUGCCAGCAGCCGCGGUAAUACGAAGGGUGCAAGCGUUAAUCGGAAUUACUGGGCGUAAAGCGCGCGUAGGUGGUUCAGUAAGUUGGAAGUGAAAUCCCCGGGCUCAACCUGGGAACUGCUUUCAAAACUGCUGAGCUAGAGUACGGUAGAGGGUGGUGGAAUUUCCUGUGUAGCGGUGAAAUGCGUAGAUAUAGGAAGGAACACCAGUGGCGAAGGCGACCACCUGGACUGAUACUGACACUGAGGUGCGAAAGCGUGGGGAGCAAACAGGAUUAGAUACCCCGGUAGUCC